RNAcentral lists this ribosomal RNA (2800 nucleotides) under Monocercomonoides melolonthae. RNAcentral's name for it is "partial small subunit ribosomal RNA". The stretch from base 417 to 2800 matches the Rfam family "Eukaryotic small subunit ribosomal RNA". The record is from RNAcentral. Lineage: Eukaryota; Preaxostyla; Oxymonadida; Polymastigidae.
UGUAAGUAUAAACAACUUGUACUUGUUAAACUGCGAAUGGCUCAAUAAAUCAGUUAUAAUUUAUUUGAUAGUGAUGUAAAGUCUUAAAACAUUUUACUACAUGGAUAGCCGUAGUGAUUCUAGAGCUAAUACAUGCAUAAAGAUCCGACUUGUAAAGGAAGGAUUGUAUUUAUUAGACCGACAAAACCAACUAUAUAUUUUUCCUUUUUAAAUUUUUAUUCAGUUAAAAAUUAAAAAAUAAAAUAUUAAAUGUAAUUGGUGGAAUCAUAAUAAAUUUAGUCGAAUCAGGAUUUAGUUUCUGAUGAAUCAUUGAAAUUUCUGCCCUAUCAACUGUUGAUGGUAGGAUAGAGGCCUACCAUGGUUUUGACGGGUAACGGAGAAUUAGGGUUCGAUUCCGGAGAGGGAGCCUGAGAAAUGGCUACCACUUCCAAGGAAGGCAGCAGGCGCGCAAAUUACCCAAUCCCAAUAAAGUUGGGGAGGUAGCGACAAAAAAUAACAAUGCAGAGUUUCUUUGAAAUUUCUGUAAUUGGAAUGGCUUUAAUGUAAAUGCUUAAAGGAGUAACAAUUAGAGGGCAAGUCUGGUGCCAGCAGCCGCGGUAAUUCCAGCUCUAAUAGUGUAUACUAAAAUUGCUGCAGUUAAAAAGCUCGUAGUUGGAUUUUGGAGGAAACGAAAAGAAUUAAUUAUUUUUUUAAAAGAGCCUUCACGUAAAAAUAGUAAGUUUUUUUUAUUUUAUAAUUUUAAUUUAGUCAAAUAAAUUUAAAUUAUUAAAAUUUAACUUACGGCUCUGUUUCUUCCUAAUUAAUUUUUCGAAGUUCGAUCUUCCCCUUAAUUGGGUUGUAAUAGUCAUUAUUUAAUUAUAUUGACUUUAUUCAGAAGAUUGUUUGAUUUAUUGUAAAAUAAAAAACUUUGGAGAUUUUACUUUGAAGAAAAUGGAGUGUUCAAAGCAGGCGUUUUUUCGCAACUGAACGCAUUAGCAUGGAAUAAUAAAAUAGGACACUUGAUUAAAAUAGCGAUAAUUAUUUUUUUAAUAAUUUUUUUUUUAUUUGCGCGAAAAACUUUUUAAUUAAAGUUUGUAGUUAAAAUGAAAAAAGUUAAUAAAUUAUUUUAUAAAAUAAUUAUAAAGCGUUAAUUGAAAAACACGCUAAUGGGAAAUAAUUACUUUUUAUGAAAGUAAAAAUUAAUUAUUUUUUUUUAGGUGUAAAAUUUUUCACUCCGUUUUGUUGGUUUUUAAAGAUCUAGAUGAAAAUCUAGGUUGUUUGGAACAAGUGUAAUGAUUAAAAGGGACAGUUGGGGGCAUCCGUAUUGCAUUGUCAGAGGUGAAAUUCUUGGAUUUAUGCAAGACGAACGAGUGCGAAAGCAUUUGCCAAGGAUGUUUUCAUUAAUCAAGAACGAAAGUUAGGGGAUCGAAGGCGAUCAGAAACCGCCCUAGUCUUAACUAUAAACUAUGCCAACUAGGGAUUGGAAGGAAGCUCUAAAAUAAUAAACAAUUUUUUAAUUGAGUUUUUUGUGUGAUGUAUAAACGCAAGUUUGUAUGUUUACUAAGAAAUUCAACAAAUUAAAAAAUUGUUGAUUUUAAGCCCCGUCAGCACCUUUAGAGAAAUCGAUCAAGUCUCUGGGUUCUGGGGGGAGUAUGGUCGCAAGUCUGAAACUUAAAGAAAUUGACGGAAGGGCACCACCAGGUGUGGAGCCUGCGGCUUAAUUUGACUCAACACGGGGAAACUUACCAGGUCCAGACACAGGAAGGAUUGACAGAUUGAUAGUUCUUUCUUGAUUCCGUGGGUGGUGGUGCAUGGUCGUUCUUAGUUGGUGGAGUGAUUUGUCUGGUUAAUUCCGAUAACGAACGAGACCUCAACCUGCUAACUAGCUUAAUAAUUCUAUAUUUAAAUAUAUUAAUAAUUAACAAAAUAUUCAUUGUUAUAAGAAAGGCUUCUGCUUUUUCUUUAUUUUCAUUAUUUUUUGUUAUUUGUUGCUUAUGAGAAUAUUUUAAUUAAUAUUGGAUUAAACUUCAAGUCCUUAAAAUAGUGGAAGGGGUUAAAGUGGUGUUUUUGUAGCAAUGGAUUAUUUAGACUAUAAGGGAGAUAUUGAUUUAGUUUGUAGUUGGCAUUUAUUAGAAAUAGUAAAUGUUUUAUUAUUAAAUUAAAAAGAUAUUUUCACGUCUAAGGAAUUAUAAUCUUUUUUUGAUUUUUUUAUAGUAAAAUGUAAAAAAAGAGGAAAAGGAAAAAAAAAGCUUCUUAGAGGGACUACCAUGGUUGCACAUGGGGGAAGCAUGAGGCAAUAACAGGUCUGUGAUGCCCUUAGAUGUCCUGGGCCGCACGCGCGCUACACUGAUAGAGUCAACAAGCUUAAAUUUAAUUUAUUUCCGUAAAAAAGGGGAAUAAUAUUUUAUUAAAUGGAAGGUAAGAAUGUAAGUUUUAAUUUUUGUACAGAGAAAUUUGUGCAAAAAGAGAAAUGAAAUUUUUAUUUUCUUAUUUAAUGAUAUUAUUUCACUUGGAAAGUUUUAAAAUGAAAUCCUUGCCUGAAAAGGUUGGGUAAUCUUUUUAAACUCUAUCGGGAUGGGAAUUGAUCUUUGUAAUUUUGGAUCAUGAACGAGGAAUACCUAGUAAGUGCAAGUCAUCAGCUUGCGCUGAUUACGUCCCUGCCCUUUGUACACACCGCCCGUCGCUCCUACCGAUUGAAUGAUCAGAUGAAAUGUUUGGAUCUAAAAUUUGCAGGUUCGUUUGUAGGAAAAGUUUUAUGUCAAAAGUAAAUUUCUUUGAGAAUCAGUUGAUUUUUAAGAAGAACAGUGAAUCUUAUUAUUUA